RNAcentral lists this ribosomal RNA (515 nucleotides) under uncultured bacterium. Its description in RNAcentral is "bacterial SSU rRNA". It matches the Rfam family "Bacterial small subunit ribosomal RNA", at positions 8 to 518 of the family's 1533-position model. The record is from RNAcentral.
AGAGUUGAUCCUGGCUCAGGAUGAACGCUGGCGGCGUGCCUAAUACAUGCAAGUCGAACGAGCGAGAUCCAGCUUGCUGGAUUAGCGAGUGGCGAACGGGUGAGUAAUACGUAAGCAACCUGCCUACACGGACUGGGAUAACACCUGGAAACGGGCGCUAAUACCGGAUAGGUAACGAGAGGGCAUCCUCUUGUUAUUAAAGGUUUCAAACACAAGUAGAUGGGCUUACGGUGCAUUAGCUAGUUGGUGAGGUAACGGCCCACCAAGGCGAUGAUGCAUAGCCGGCCUGAGAGGGUGAACGGCCACAUUGGGACUGAGACACGGCCCAGACUCCUACGGGAGGCAGCAGUAGGGAAUUUUCGGCAAUGGGCGCAAGCCUGACCGAGCAACGCCGCGUGAGUGAUGAAGGUUUUCGGAUCGUAAAGCUCUGUUGUAAGGGAAGAACGGCGCGGAUAGACUCCGCGAUUGACGGUACCUUACCAGAAAGCCACGGCUAACUACGUGCCAGCAGCGGC